Molecule: small RNA, 429 nt
Filed under: Pongo abelii (Sumatran orangutan)
Lineage: Eukaryota; Metazoa; Chordata; Mammalia; Primates; Hominidae
Description: processed transcript
Source: RNAcentral
UUCCCAAGGCCGAGAUCACCGCAGAGGGCUGAAUGGUGGAAUAACGCCCCUGAACUCCAUCUCACCUUUGAAGAAAAAUUUCGCAAGCAAUCAUAUUCAGCUCCAGAAGUAUGCUCGCCCCAGCUCUGCCUUUGCACCUAAAUCCUGGAUGGAAGAUAGCUUGAACAGGGCUGACAACAUUUUUCCUUUUCCGGUCUGAACAGCCUGAAUUGAUGGACUUGGCAAUUCCUCUUAAACCUCUGCAAAUUUUGGCCUACCUUUCAUCAGUAACGACUAUCUAGUGAGAGAAAUGAUCUAAAUGUUUUCUUCAUCCCCUUUUAUUUUUGAACACUAUGAAACUGUUCAUCUCAGAGUGACUCUUUAUGCCUUUCACCUAUUUGUUUAUUUUCCAAUGUUAACAUUGGAGGUGUAGAUAAUUAAACCAUUCCU